GAGUUUGAUCAUGGCUCAGAACGUACGCUGGCGGCACGCCUAGCACAUGCAAGUCGAACGAAGUAGCAAUACUUAGUGGCAGACGGGUGAGUAACAUGUAGGUAUCUACCCUUUGGCCUGGAAUAACACGAGGAAACUUGUGCUAAUACCGGAUAAGUCUUUACGGAGAAAGCUUUAUGCACCAAUGGAUGAGCCUGCACUUGAUUAGUUUGUUGGUAGGGUAAUGGCCUACCAAGACUGUGAUCAAUAGCUGAUUUGAGAGGAUGAUCAGCCACAUUGGGACUGAGACACGGCCCAAACUCCUACGGGAGGCAGCAGUGGGGAAUCUUGCACAAUGGAGGAAACUCUGAUGCAGCGAUGCCGCGUGAGUGAAGAAGGCCCUUGGGUUGUAAAGCUCUUUCGUCGGGGAAGAAAAUGACUGUACCCGAAUAAGAAGGUCCGGCUAACUUCGUGCCAGCAGCCGCGGUAAUACGAAGGGACCUAGCGUAGUUCGGAAUUACUGGGCUUAAAGAGUUCGUAGGUGGUUGAAAAAGUUGGUGGUGAAAUCCCAGAGCUUAACUCUGGAACUGCCAUCAAAACUUUUCAGCUAGAGUUUGAUAGAGGAAAGCAGAAUUUCUAGUGUAGAGGUGAAAUUCGUAGAUAUUAGAAAGAAUACCAAUUGCGAAGGCAGCUUUCUGGAUCAUUACUGACACUGAGGAACGAAAGCAUGGGUAGCGAAGAGGAUUAGAUACCCUCGUAGUCCAUGCCGUAAACGAUGUGUGUUAGACGUUGGAAAUUUAUUUUCAGUGUCGCAGCGAAAGCGAUAAACACACCGCCUGGGGAGUACGACCGCAAGGUUAAAACUCAAAUGAAUUGACGGGGACCCGCACAAGUAGUGGAGCAUGUGGUUUAAUUCGAAGAUACGCGCAGAACCUUACCAACACUUGACAUGUUCGUCGCGACUUUAAGAGAUUAAAGUUUUCGGUUCGGCCGGACGAAACACAGGUGCUGCAUGGCUGUCGUCAGCUCGUGUCGUGAGAUGUUGGGUUAAGUCCCGCAACGAGCGCAACCCUCACUUUUAGUUGCCAUCAUUUAGUUGGGCACUCUGAAAGAACUGCCAGUGAUAAGCUGGAGGAAGGUGGGGAUGACGUCAAGUCCUCAUGGCCCUUACGUGUUGGGCUACACACGUGCUACAAUGGUAUUUACAACAGGAAGCAAGACGGCGACGUUAAGCAAAUCCUUAAAAGAUACCUCAGUUCGGAUUGCACUCUGCAACUCGAGUGCAUGAAGCUGGAAUUACUAGUAAUCGUGGAUCAGCGUGCCACGGUGAAUGCGU
This 1315-nucleotide ribosomal RNA is filed under the name unidentified marine bacterioplankton. Its description in RNAcentral is "bacterial SSU rRNA". It matches the Rfam family "Bacterial small subunit ribosomal RNA", at positions 9 to 1371 of the family's 1533-position model. The record is from RNAcentral.